AUUGAACGCUGGCGGAAUGCUUUACACAUGCAAGUCGAACGGCCGCACGGACUUCGGUCUGGUGGCGAGUGGCGAACGGGUGAGUAACAUAUCGGAACGUAUCCAAUAAUGGGGGAUAACUAAUCGAAAGGUUGGCUAAUACCGCAUACGCCCUACGGGAGAAAGCAGGGGAUCUUCGGACCUUGCGUUAAUGGAGCGGCUGAUAUCUGAUUAGCGAGUGGGUGAGGUAAAGGCUCACCAAGGCGACGUUCAGUAGCUGGUCUGAGAGGACGACCCGCCACACUAGAACUGAGACACGGUCCAGACUCCUACGGGAGGCAGCAGUGGGGAAUUUUGGACAAUGGGCGCAAGCCUGAUCCAGCCAUUCCGCGUGAGUGAAGAAGGCCUUCGGGUUGUAAAGCUCUUUCGCAAGGGAAGAAAACUUACUUUCUAAUAAAGAGUGAGGUUGACGGUACCUUGAUAAGAAGCACCGGCUAACUACGUGCCAGCCGCCGCAGUAA
Molecule: ribosomal RNA, 500 nt
Filed under: uncultured bacterium
Lineage: Bacteria
Description: partial 16S ribosomal RNA
Rfam family: Bacterial small subunit ribosomal RNA
Source: RNAcentral